This 103-nucleotide microRNA precursor is filed under the name Marmota monax (woodchuck). Lineage: Eukaryota; Metazoa; Chordata; Mammalia; Rodentia; Sciuridae. The record is from RNAcentral.
AAUGGAAGAGCUGGGUCAAAUGGUGGUUCCACUCCAGGUUUUCUAAGAAAUCUCCACACUGCUUUUCAUAGUGGCUGCACCAAUUUUCAAUCCCAUCAGCAAU